Molecule: ribosomal RNA, 970 nt
Filed under: uncultured fungus
Lineage: Eukaryota; Fungi
Description: eukaryotic LSU rRNA
Rfam family: Eukaryotic large subunit ribosomal RNA (bases 320-970)
Source: RNAcentral
AUCGAUGAAGAACGCAGCGAAAUGCGAUAAGUAAUGCGAAUUGCAGAAUUCCAGUGAGUCAUCGAAUCUUUGAACGCACAUUGCGCCCUUUGGUAUUCCGAAGGGCAUGCCUGUUCGAGCGUCAUUAUCACCCCUCAAGCCCCUGGCUUGGUGUUGGACGGUUUGGUGGAGGUCCCCUCGGGGGCUCCUGCCCCUCCCAAAGACAAUGACGGCGGCCUCGUUGGACCCCCGGUACACUGAGUUCUUCACGGGACACGUAUCGGACACAUGGGUUUACGGGACACGGUCUGCCUCCCCUCAGGGAGAAUCUUUCUAAGGUUGACCUCGGAUCAGGUAGGGAUACCCGCUGAACUUAAGCAUAUCAAUAAGCGGAGGAAAAGAAACCAACAGGGAUUGCCUCAGUAACGGCGAGUGAAGCGGCAACAGCUCAAAUUUGAAAUCUGGCCUCUUUGGGGUCCGAGUUGUAAUUUGUAGAGGAUGUUUCGGGUACCGCCUCGGUUUAAAUUUCUUGGAACAGAAUGUCAAAGAGGGUGAGAAUCCCGUCUUGGACCGGCGGUAGGGCCCAUGUGAAACUCCUUCGACGAGUCGAGUUGUUUGGGAAUGCAGCUCAAAAUGGGUGGUAAAUUUCAUCUAAAGCUAAAUAUUGGCCAGAGACCGAUAGCGCACAAGUAGAGUGAUCGAAAGAUGAAAAGCACUUUGAAAAGAGAGUUAAACAGUAUGUGAAAUUGUUGAAAGGGAAGCGCUUACAACCAGACUUGCGCGCGGCGGUUCCCCCUUCCUUUUGGUUGGGCUACUCCGUCGUGUCCAGGCCAACAUCGGUUCUGGGGGUCGGUUAAAGACCCUGGGAAUGUACCUACCCUUCGGGCGUAGACUUAUAGCUCAGGGUGUCAUGCGACCUCCCGGGACCGAGGAACGCGCUUCGGCUCGGAUGUUGGCGUAAUGGUUGUCAGCGACCCGUCUUGAAACACGG